RNAcentral lists this long non-coding RNA (6168 nucleotides) under Nicotiana benthamiana. RNAcentral describes it as "long non-coding RNA (NBEN_LNC010776)". Lineage: Eukaryota; Viridiplantae; Streptophyta; Magnoliopsida; Solanales; Solanaceae. The record is from RNAcentral.
UUAAAUAGGAAAUUGGUGUAAUUGGAAGUUUGGAAGUAUAAUUUUAGAGUCAAUUUGAAUUUUGAUUUUUAAUUUAACAUUUAACAAAAUUAGAAAAUAAAAUAUAAAAUAAAAAAGAAGAAGAUAAAAGAAUUAGGAAUAAAAAUGGGAAGAGCCUUCUCCAAAAUAUUUUUUCCCAAAUUAUUUCUCCCCACCUAAGACCUUCCCUAAAAUAUUCCCCUACCUAAAAUCUUUCCCCCAAAAUAUUACCUCACAUAACAGCUUCUUCCCAAAUAAAGAACCCCCCAUAACACCCUACCCAUACACUCCAUAUAACUAUUUCUACACAAAACAGAAAUAUGUGGGGAAGGGAACAGACGAAAAUACAGAAAGCUAAAAAAAAUGGGCGAAAAAUACACCAAAAAAAGGAGCUGCAAUUCAUAAAAAAGAGACCCCCAUCCCCUGAGGAGAUUGUCUUCAUACCAUCCAAACGACCUCUGAACUCAUCCUUCGACAUCUCAAGAGCAGAGGCAACGGGAGUCCUCAGUUCUUCAACGACCAGUCGCACCAGACCCCCACCCCAUCGACUUGCCUGUUUCAACAUCAACAGCCACCGAACCUCAUUUCAUCUCCCUCACGUCGAAGAACAAACGCACACACAAACAAAGUGAGGGAACAAGCUUAGAGCUGGAAUAGAUAGACGCGAACAGAAAUCGAAAACAGUACAAAAACUUCUUCGUCUUCUCCAUUCUCGAUUUGGUUCAUAGUUUUCUGCAACAUGGAGUUUAAUUGAUGUUUGGAGCCGAAUUUGAGUUUGAAUCGUGUGGAGGUCGCCAUUGAAGGUCUAUUGUUCCGAUCUGGAUGAGGUUCCGAUUCGUUGUCUCCGGUCAGGUUCGCAAUCGCUACAUUAAUCGCUAGCUGCGAAUUUGUUCUUCCUCCAUCUCUGGAUUCAUCGAAUUCAAGUUGUAAGGUACAUGUUAAUUAUAUUAAGCUGCAUCUCUUUCUAUUUAUCUUCCAAUGCAUAAACAUAAGGUUUCUCUUUCUGAUUUGACAUAGUUAUUUGUGAUUUUUCAAUUGAUCUGCAUUUUAUUUGUUUUCUAUGUGAUAAUAGCUAUAAACAUACGACAUUGAUGACUCUUCUUUUGUAGUCACUCUACUUCUGUUAUUGAAUGUGAUUAAGUUCUAUUCUUAAACUUGCAAAUGGGACGAGAAUGGCUUAGCUUUGUUCAUUUUUCUGUAGUGGGAUUUUGAUGCAGUUAAGCUGUUUGAAGAAAUGAUGCAGUAGAAGAACGAAUAGGAAGAUAAUAAACGUUUUGUUAAGUGUUUAGACGGGUCCGUCUAUCUUUUAGCGUGAACUGAUUAUGUGCUUCUCGUAGUGGUCAAAUUAGACAAGAGGGGUGCUCUAAUGAUAAGCAAUCCCCACUUCCAACCGAGAGGUCGUAAGUUUGAGUCUUCCCAAGAGCAAUGUGGGAAGUUCUUGGAGGGAAGGAUGCCUGGGGUCUAUUUGAAAACGGCCUGUCUACCCAAGGGUAGGGGUAAGGUCUGCGUACACACUACCCUCUCCAGACCCCACUAAGUGAGAUUAUACUGGAUUGUUGUAGUGGUCAAAUUAGCUUUAUCUCUAAUAAUAGUAAAUGUUGGUUAACUCUAAAUACUACAUACAGAAAGUGGAUGAUGAUUAACAUAUUCAAGUUGUUGCAGCCAGUGGUUUAUGGAUUGUUUAGGUCAUUCUGCUAUAGGAUGUGAUGUAUUUCAAUUUAUUUGUAUUUGUAUUUUUGACUAUACAGAUUCGCUAAUUCCUAGUAGUAUGUAUUUUGACAUUUGACUGGAUUAAUCAAGAGCCUUACAAUCUCCUGAUUGAACGUAGUUAUUAGGGAGCGGAGGCGAGCCAUAUUCAAUAACGCCAAUAAUGAUGGCCCUCCCAAAUUAGUAUAGAAGCCUUUAAAUAAUAAAUGGGACGAGCCUCACUCAAUAAAAAUGUAAAAUUGCGGGCCCCCAAUAAUUUUUUUUAAAAUAUUUAGAUAGCAAAUUCACGGCCUGAGUGGCGACAUCAUUUAUCUUCCAAGUGGCGACUCUGAAAUCUUAAUAAAUAAAUUCUUUUCCGAUUGUCCUUUAAUUGGAAAACUUCUUUACGCCCUUUGCGGGGAUAUACAGUGAAAAAGGAGGUGUGACACCUGCUUGGAGUUUGGUGCAGUAAGAAUUAAACUCCUUAUUUGAAGUAAGCUUGAUUGCUUCUCUUUGAUGCAUUAUACAUGUGUGAAUGGUUUCCUUGCUUGUGAACUAUUUGUCCCCUUUUCCCUUGCCCUUGCUUGUAUGACUAUUUUGUUUUUCAAAACUGGUCUACCUAAAUUGAUUUUAAAAGGACUCUUGCACUCUCCUAUUACUAUUUUUUUCAAACUGUCUUUCAACUGUUUCUAACUCAACUCCUUCAAACUCCAUCAUAAUCACACACUACUCUUAGAAUUAGGUCAUGCCCCCUUUUGUAAGCAUUACCUUGGGUACCUUGAGUAUCAACUGAACUUUGAUGCACAAGGUUGGCACUUCCACACUUGCACUUGUAAAUGGUGAUUUGUUUUGGGUGCCUGGUAUUGGCCGAGGUCUCGAGAGACCCUAGGGAACUUUGCCGCACCCAACCUCUUGAUGAAGGCUUUGAAGCUCGAAAUAAGUGAGGUUGGAGGUCUGGGCCUGGCUGAAAGCUCCCUGUAGAAUAACUUCUUGUUUUAUUCAUCAUUACUGUAAUUUAAUUACCUAACAUGUAAUAAUGUGUAAAUAACUAUGGGGGUUUAUAGUGAAAUUGGGACGGCUAUGCAUGAUUAUUAAGGGUAUGAGUAGAAAACAUGAUUAUAGGAUUUUACUUACCUAUUUGUGCAAUAGAAACCAUGUAUAGGACACACAUCUCACAUAUAGAAAUCCUGCUUUUAGGUCUCUUUACUUUCAUCUUGUUAUUUCACUUAUCCUAUGAUCACAAACAAUUAAUAAUUAACAAGUUACUACAUUUAGAUACCAUGCUUUAGGAUUCUUACAUGCAUUAGAUACAAUGUACUUAGGGUUUAUUUGCAAUUGUCGAAACGCUUCGUUAGUGUAUUUUAUCUAAUAACACCAGCCUAGUUAACUAUAAAACUGGAAACAAAUAUGCAUGCCCACUGCCUUCAACGUUUAGGCAAGCCUUAGGCCGGAUAAAAUUGACUAAUCGUCUUAAAUCAUGCUUGAGUUAUUCCACCUCUUUAAAUUGUCCAAAUUUGUUUUGCUCUAUGAGGCCCGCCUCAUUUUUCCUACUAAACUUACGUCCUAUUUUUUAUCACAUCCGUGCAAAAAUCCGUUUUCCACUAAAUUAGCCUCUCUGGGGUCCGCCUGAUUUUUCCUAUUAAACUUUCGUCCUGUUUUGUAUCAGAUCUGUGCAAAAAAUAUAUUUUUCGCUAAAUUACCUUUCAAUCCAGAACUGGACUACUAUUCUCUAAAAUCUUAUCUGAAUACUAUAUCUUCUGUGAUUUUAGAAAAACCAUAGUUCAAAGCUAAUAUAUUUACCACCCUCUUUCAAUUAUACUUAUGUAAUUUUGAAUAAUUGUACAUCUGUGUGUAAUGACCCGACCCGUCGUCUCAGAUAUCUCUGCCCCGUUUUUCCCAUUAUAUGCUUCUAUAUGUUUGGUGAAUUUGAAGUAAUUCGGAUAGAGUUUGGGCAGAAAUGAGACAAUUAGUCCCUUUAUGAGAAGGUUAGUUUGGAAAAAGUCAACUAAAUGUUGACUUAUGGGUUAGAGGGAGCAUAAUGGAUUUCCGAUGAUUCGACUAGUUUCGGGUGAUGAUUUGUGACUUAGGAUCUCAAUCAGAAUUGAAUUUGGAGGUUCGGUGUAGAAUAAGGCUUGAAUUGGCUAAGUUUGAAUUUCGACGAAGUCCGAUGAUAGUUGAGAUUUUGAUCCGGGGGUCAAAAUUUAAUUCCGGCAGUUAAAGUAGAUCAGUUAGGUGAUUUUGGAUAUUUGUGAAACUUUUCAGAUCAUUCAGAGGUGUUUAGGUCGGGUUUUGGAUCAAAUGUGUAUUUCAGCAGUUUUAGAAGAACUUAGGCUUGAGUCCGAUGUAAAUUUGAUGUUUGAUUUUAGUUUUGGUAUUUUGAGAGUGAAACUAAGUUUGAAUGAUCAAAUGUGAUGUCUUAGUAUGUCCGUAAGCGGUUCUGAGGAGUUCAGGUGAGUUUCGGAUAGGUUUGGGCUGCGUUGUGCUCGUUUUUCUUACGCUUCGACGUCGUUUCUUCAAGCAUAAAUGAUAUCAUAUUGAACAAAUAAGCUCCGAUUACUUAUUUGAAUGAAGCACUAGAUCCGUAUCGUAAUUAUGGACCCGUAACAAAAAGAAUCAUCGAAUUUGGACAUCGUAUGAGAAUUUUAUGGUUGUUUUACCAAGGUUUGCCCAGAUUGUUCAAUUUAAUGACGAAAUUGCCCCUGACGUCGUAUUCAAAACCUGCACUAUUUGUAGAUCUUAAAAUCUACAUAUCUCCUUUAUUAUAAGGUCAAAUUGAGUGAUUCAAAAGCCUAAAUUCAUUAAAAUUUCAUAAGGAAUCCAUUGGGAGCAGCAAAACACGUGAACAGUAUACCUAUAAUGAUCAGGUCGAGUUUUCUUAUAUUUUUUGAAUGGGAAGAAGCUUCCGAGAUGAUUUUUAAGAGGGAAAAUCAGUGGGUAAUGCAGAGGUAAGUUAUUUGAUUAUUAAAACUUGUUAUAGGUGAUUAUAAACCAUAAUCACAGCCUUUAAUUCAUGAAAAACAGUAGAAAAAUAGGAUUUUGGGGCUUGAGAUUAUGAGACCUUUAGGGGUCGAUUUGAGGGGUCAAACGGACUCCGAUUUGGUGUUCUUUAUAUGUACGGACUCGUGGCGAGACGAGAAAUCCAAAGAUGUAAUUUUGAAAAAUUUUCGAGAAGUGGGCUCGGGGCUCGGAUUUUGCCAACUUUGUGAUUUUUAGUGUUUUUCGAAUAAUUUCAGUUGGGUUAUGUUUAUUUAGUCCAUAUUUAUGUAUUCGUUAUGAUUUUGACUAGCUUUGACACGCGAAGAGGUUGAUACAGGAGGAAAGGGCAUCGUUGGCUAGUCUGCGGCCGGUUAGAGGUGAGUAGUUUGUAUAGAUUAUGGCUUGAGGGUUUGAAACCCCGGUUUAUCACAUCGUGAUGCUAUGUUAGGGCGUGAAUCGCACCCCGUGGCAGGUGCGGGAUGGUAUAUGAUUGGGGAUUGUGACUUGGUCCAUCCCGAGAGCGGAGUAUAAGUUAUUGGCGGCUGAUACGCACAUUGUGUAGUUGAUAAUUGGGUUUAAUGCUAUGUUUGGGGCCUUGUGCCGAUAUGUAGUACCCGUCUAAGGUGAAUAUCUGUUUGAUAACAUGAUUUGCAUAAUCAUUGAUCUCAGUCCUGUGUUUAAUCACCGUAAUGAAAUGCAAAGUCACUUUUCCUGAAAUUAAAUAAUUAAAUUAUAUUCUUCCUAAGAAUUGGAAACUGGAAAGUGUUUAAUCACCGUAAUGAAAUGCAAAGUCACUUUUCCUGAAAUUAAAUAAUUAAAUUAUAUUCUUCCUAAGAAUUGGAAACUGGAAAAUAUGUUGAACCUGUUAUGUGACUCCUAUGCAUACUGUGGUCUGAGCAUGGAUCGGGCUACACGCCGUUGCGAUUAUACACAUUGGUUCGGGCUACACUUCGUAGCGAUUAUAUACAUUGAUAUUGAGGCCGAGAGCCUGUUUUAUGCCAAAACCUGGUUGAUAUUGCGCUUGGAAUGAAGGAGCCCCUCCGGAAUAUGUAUACACCCCCAGUUAGCGCCGUCGACGAUAAAUAAGUAUGGAUGGCUCGGGUUGCACGCCCCAACGUAUUCAUGUGCAUUGCAUUGCAUUUUUUAUCUGAUACUUUGUUGCUAUUUUGAUACUGUUUUGUUGUUUGUUCGUAGCUAAGUUAUAGGAUUGUUAGCUAUAACUUUGCUUUGUGGCAUUUCGUGGAUUUCUUACUUUUAGACAUUUUUCUAUGCUUAUUAUUCACUGAGUCGGUAGUACUCACCCCUACUCCCUGCACCUUGUGUGCAGAUUCAGGUACACAGGAGGCCUAGCUGACGCUCAUAGUCUCCCGUUAUUUCCAGAGUCGUUGAGGUAGCUGCAUGAUGUUCGCAGGACCUGACUGCUCUUCAUUAUUUUUCUCAGUUCAUUAUUAUUAUUUACUUUUCUAGAUUUUUAUAUUGUUAUUCAGA